RNAcentral lists this transfer RNA (71 nucleotides) under Cordylochernes scorpioides. RNAcentral describes it as "tRNA-Gly". The record is from RNAcentral. Lineage: Eukaryota; Metazoa; Arthropoda; Arachnida; Pseudoscorpiones; Chernetidae.
UGCAUCGGCCGGGAAUCGAACCGGGGCCGCCCGCGUGGCAGGCGAGCCUUCUACCACUGAACCACCGAUGC